UCCCUCUCAGGAUCACACGUGGAGAGUUUCAAGUACUCUACCAGUCUGAGCUACAAGAGGGAGAGUCAAGCAGAGGCCUACCUAUUCCAUUCUUAGCUUGGGCAGUGGCUAGCGAGUGGAAGGUGAUCUGCUACAAGU
This is a small nucleolar RNA of Tachyglossus aculeatus (Australian echidna), 138 nucleotides long. The record is from RefSeq and is a predicted model, not a curated record. NCBI's taxonomy places the organism in Eukaryota, Metazoa, Chordata, Mammalia, Monotremata, Tachyglossidae.